AUGUUGAUGCAAGACUACUUCACCGACAAUCCAACAUAUCCACAUCACCUCUUUCGGAGAAGGUACCGAAUGCGCCGAUCCCUCUUUGUAAAAAUAGUGCAAGCUUGUGAGGCCAAUUGUCGGUAUUUUACUCAAAGAAGAAAUGUUGCGGGCUUGAAGGGAUUUAGUGCAUAUCAAAAAAUCUCGGCAGCUAUGUGUGUAAUUGCAUAUGGCAUUCCGACUGACUAUGCCUAUGAGUACCUUCGCAUUGGUGAAGAUACUACGAUUGAGUCAGUGCGUGAUGUCUACUACGCAACCUUCUUCUUGUAG
RNAcentral lists this ribosomal RNA (309 nucleotides) under Triticum aestivum (bread wheat). RNAcentral's name for it is "partial small subunit ribosomal RNA". The record is from RNAcentral. Lineage: Eukaryota; Viridiplantae; Streptophyta; Magnoliopsida; Poales; Poaceae.